UGAGCAAUCUGCCCUUCUCUUUGGAAUAAGCGUUGGAAACGACGUCUAAUGCCGAAUACGACCUCCUUUCGCAUGAUCGGAGGUGGAAAGCUCCGGCGGAGAAGGAUGAGCUCGCGGCCUAUCAGCUAGUUGGUGUGGGUAAUGGCCCACCAAGGCGACGACGGGUAGCCGGCCUGAGAGGGUGACCGGCCACACUGGGACUGAGACACGGCCCAGACUCCGUACGGGGAGGNAGCG
RNAcentral lists this ribosomal RNA (237 nucleotides) under uncultured bacterium. RNAcentral's name for it is "partial 16S ribosomal RNA". It matches the Rfam family "Bacterial small subunit ribosomal RNA", at positions 118 to 353 of the family's 1533-position model. The record is from RNAcentral.